AUGAACGCUGGCGGCGUGCCUAACACAUGCAAGUCGAACGAUACCCUGUCUUCGGAUUGGGUAUAGUGGCGAACGGGUGAGUAACACGUUGGUGACCUGCCCCGAAGACGGGAAUAACCCUUCGAAAGGAGGGCUAAUACCCGAUGUGCUUGUGCUGUUUAGAAGAGUGCAAGUAAAGCUCCGGCGCUUCGGGAGGGGCCAGCGGCCUAUCAGCUAGUUGGUGAGGUAAUGGCUCACCAAGGCGAAGACGGGUAGGGGGCGUGAGAGCGUGACCCCCCACAAUGGAACUGAGACACGGUCCAUACUCCUCCGGGAGGCAGCAGUGAGGAAUAUUGCACAAUGGGGGAAACCCUGAUGCAGCAACGCCGCGUGGGUGAAGAAGGCUUUCGGGUCGUAAAACCCUUUUCCAGGGGAAGAGCAAGGACGGUACCCUGGGAAUAAGUCCCGGCUAACUACGU
RNAcentral lists this ribosomal RNA (458 nucleotides) under uncultured bacterium. RNAcentral's name for it is "bacterial SSU rRNA". It matches the Rfam family "Bacterial small subunit ribosomal RNA", at positions 29 to 506 of the family's 1533-position model. The record is from RNAcentral.